UUACAACUGAUGUCACUCCUUUAUUCACUGAAAUAUAACACGGAACUAGAAAACUGGUGGAGGGAGGGAGCGCUGGUGGAGGGAGGGGAGAGGAAGGGAGUGGAGGGUGCAGAGAGUGUCAGGAAGAGCGAGGGUGUAGCAGGGAAAGUCUGUGCUGCGUGUGGGAAGUGACUUUAGUGGCGGCGUGAAGGCGAGGACACGAGUGAGGUGCUGGCAGGCUGACUGAGCGUUGCCAGUGUGGGAGUCGUCUGGUGUGAGCCGCCCCGCCUGAUUCCGCUCCGAGACGCUUACCAGUCAAUACAUGUGAGCGUGAGGGUGAUGGAGGCACUGGUGGGACUGCAUUCGGACGCGAGUCGAAGCAGACGGCAGUCGACUCACUUGCUGGCAACGCUGACUGAUGGACGUGGGAAAGGAGGGGCUGUACGCACACUGUAUAUUGGUUUACCCUCAAUAUAUAAUGUACCAGUAUGGCAGCGUCAUCUCGUCAUAUUAUCUUUUCAGGAGAGGCAUACCACGUGGGUUUAUACGCACACACACACGCGUGUAUGAAUUUUAGUAAUGACUAGCGUCAAAACAACAAUGUUUACCCUGGGUUAUGUACGUUUUCUUAGUAUGGUUCGUUUUCUAUGGAUGAUAUUAAAGGGUAACCUGAAUAAAAGAAAAAUAUGUUUCGUACUGCCAUGAAUUCACUGUUGUAAAUGUAGUAUUGUUUACCAAACACUUCCACUAAUGUGAUUAUAACUUCCCUCAAAAUAAACCUUAAAGAACUC
Molecule: long non-coding RNA, 770 nt
Organism: Scylla paramamosain (green mud crab)
Lineage: Eukaryota; Metazoa; Arthropoda; Malacostraca; Decapoda; Portunidae
Exons: 2
Source: RefSeq, a predicted model, not a curated record